This 427-nucleotide ribosomal RNA is filed under the name uncultured bacterium. RNAcentral describes it as "partial 16S ribosomal RNA". It matches the Rfam family "Bacterial small subunit ribosomal RNA", at positions 354 to 796 of the family's 1533-position model. The record is from RNAcentral.
GUGGGGAAUAUUGGGCAAUGGGGGCAACCCUGACCCAGCGACGCCGCGUGAGGGAAGACGGCCUUCGGGUUGUAAACCUCUUUUGUACGGGAAGAAGGAAGUGACGGUACUGUACGAAUAAGUCCCGGCUAACUACGUGCCAGCAGCCGCGGUAAUACGUAGGGGACGAGCGUUGUCCGGAAUUACUGGGCGUAAAGGGCGCGCAGGCUGUGCUGCAAGUCAGCUGUGAAAUGUCUGGGCUUAACCCGGGCAUGCGGUUGAGACUGCAGUGCUGGAGUGCUGUAGAGGCAAGUGGAAUUCACAGUGUAGCGGUGAAAUGCGUAGAUAUUGGGAAGAACACCGGUGGCGAAGGCGACUUGCUGGGCAGCAACUGACGCUGAGGCGCGAAAGCCAGGGGAGCAAACGGGAUUAGAAACCCGGGUAGUCC